AGUAUAAUGUCCGAAUUAAAAGGUGAUAAACUGUAAAUUUAUUUAUAAGAAUAAUCUUUUAUACUA
Molecule: transfer RNA, 66 nt
Filed under: Cardiochiles fuscipennis
Lineage: Eukaryota; Metazoa; Arthropoda; Insecta; Hymenoptera; Braconidae
Description: tRNA-Tyr
Source: RNAcentral